This 844-nucleotide ribosomal RNA is filed under the name Sminthurus viridis. RNAcentral's name for it is "eukaryotic LSU rRNA". It matches the Rfam family "Eukaryotic large subunit ribosomal RNA", at positions 664 to 1426 of the family's 3401-position model. Lineage: Eukaryota; Metazoa; Arthropoda; Collembola; Symphypleona; Sminthuridae. The record is from RNAcentral.
GACCAAGGAGUCUAACAUGUAUGCGAGUCAUUGAGAAUGUAAAACUCAAAGGCAUAAUGAAAGUGAAGAUCCGUCUUGCACGGAUUGAGGAGAGAUCAUGGCAAUACUGGGCAUUCCUAAAGGUUUGCUCGGUACUUUGUAUGCGCAUCUCCUGGACGUCUAUACCUCUGAAGGUGGGGCGUACCUAGAGCAUACACGUUGGGACCCGAAAGAUGGUGAACUAUGCCUGGUCAGAACGAAGUCAGGGGAAACCCUGAUGGAGGUUCGUAGCGAUUCUGACGUGCAAAUCGAUCGUCGGAACUGGGUAUAGGGGCGAAAGACUAAUCGAACCAUCUAGUAGCUGGUUCCCUCCGAAGUUUCCCUCAGGAUAGCUGGCGCUUGAAAACCAGUCUCAUCCGGUAAAGCGAAUGAUUAGAGGCCUUGGGGCCGAAACGACCUCAACCUAUUCUCAAACUUUAAAUGGGUGAGAAGUCUGGCUUGCUUGAUCGAAGCUCGGACAUUUAAUUGGAUGGUGAGUGCCAAGUGGGCCACUCUUGGUAAGCAGGACUGGCGCUGUGGGAUGAACCAAACGCCGGGUUAAGGCGCCCGAAUCGACGCUCAUGAGAUCCCAUAAAAGGCGUUGGUUGCUUAAGACAGCAGGACGGUGGCCAUGGAAGUCGGAAUCCGCUAAGGAGUGUGUAACAACUCACCUGCCGAAGCAACUAGCCCUGAAAAUGGAUGGCGCUGAAGCGUCGUGCCCAUACCCGGCCGUUGAGUCACAGAGGUAACCUUGUGUUAUUCGCGAGGACUCAACGAGUAGGAGGGUCGUGGCGGUGUGCGUAGAAGGGUCUGGGCGUGGGCCUAC